This 463-nucleotide long non-coding RNA is filed under the name Homo sapiens (human). RNAcentral describes it as "HSALNT0209169". The record is from RNAcentral. Lineage: Eukaryota; Metazoa; Chordata; Mammalia; Primates; Hominidae.
AUAGAGAAAAGCCAGUAUAUAAUGUGAGCACUUGUAAUUUCCAAAUUAAUAAAACAUGUGAAAGUUCUUUGAAAACAGCAUCUAAUGAUUAACACUUUAUAUAUACAGAAAAUACAUUUAAGAUAUGGCUUAUAAGGUAUAAUAAUAAAAUGUGCACUUGUGAAUCCAACACAGCCUGAGCAAAGGUUUGUGACUGUUUCUUCUGAAGGACCAGAUAGUAAAUACUUUAGGAUAUACAGACUAUGAAGUCUAUGUUGCAGCUACUCAACUCUCUCAUCGUAGCUCAAAAGCAGUCACGGAUAAUAGGUGAAUGAAUGAAUGAAUGAAUGAAUGUGGCUGUGUUCCAAUAUAACUUUAUUUACAAAAACAGGCAGUGGGUCAUAAUUUGGCUACCACUGGACUAGAGCAUUAAUGAUACUAUUGAAGGUGUCUGUGUGCCCCUCUCCAGCACCAUUCUUUGUGC